This 124-nucleotide ribosomal RNA is filed under the name uncultured soil bacterium. RNAcentral describes it as "partial 16S ribosomal RNA". The record is from RNAcentral.
CUGAUGGAGCAAUGCCGCGUGCAGUGAGAAGGCCUUCGGAUUGUAAACUGCUUUUAUUUGGGACGAUAGGACUGUCCCUUAACAAUAUUGAUCUGACAACUCCGUGCCAACAGCCCCGGUAAUA